GACGAACGCUGGCGGCGUGCUUAACACAUGCAAGUCGAACGGAAAGGCCCUGCUUUUGUGGGGUGCUCGAGUGGCGAACGGGUGAGUAACACGUGAGUAACCUGCCCUUGACUUUGGGAUAACUUCAGGAAACUGGGGCUAAUACCGGAUAGGAGCUCCUGCUGCAUGGUGGGGGUUGGAAAGUUUCGGCGGUUGGGGAUGGACUCGCGGCUUACCAGCUUUUUGGUGGGGUAGUGGCUUACCAAGGCUUUGACGGGUAGCCGGCCUGAGAGGGUGACCGGCGUCAUUGGGACUGAGGUACGGCCCAGACUCCAACGGGAGGCAGCAGUGGGGAAUAUUGCGCAAUGGGCGGAAGCCUGAUGCAGCGACGCCGCGUGCGGGAUGACGGCCGUCGGGUUGUAAACCGCUUUCGCCUGUGACGAGGCGUGAGUGACGGUAAUGGGUAAAGAAGCACCGGCUAACUACGUG
This 468-nucleotide ribosomal RNA is filed under the name uncultured bacterium. Its description in RNAcentral is "partial 16S ribosomal RNA". It matches the Rfam family "Bacterial small subunit ribosomal RNA", at positions 28 to 507 of the family's 1533-position model. The record is from RNAcentral.